This is a non-coding RNA of Populus trichocarpa (black cottonwood), 120 nucleotides long. The record is from Rfam. NCBI's taxonomy places the organism in Eukaryota, Viridiplantae, Streptophyta, Magnoliopsida, Malpighiales, Salicaceae.
UAAUCUAUUUGAAGUAAAUAUUGAUUUAGUUAUGAAAAAUUUAUACCUAACUGCAAAAAAAUACAUGUUAUCACAAGCUCGAAUGCAUCCAACUACGUCACUAGUUCUAUUAAUUACUCA